Molecule: long non-coding RNA, 1949 nt
Organism: Homo sapiens (human)
Lineage: Eukaryota; Metazoa; Chordata; Mammalia; Primates; Hominidae
Exons: 2
Source: RefSeq, a predicted model, not a curated record
CAGUGCAAGAAUGAACUAAUACAGGCAAGACCUCACUAUGUUUCCCAGACUGGUUUGGAAUUCCUGCGCUUCAAGCCAUCCUCCUGCCUCAGCCUCUCAAAGUGCUGCUGGGAUUACAGCAGUGAAUCACAGUGCCUGACCCUAAUGGUCUGAGUUUAAGCUGCCAUGUAAGAAGUGCUUUUCAUCUCCCGCCAUGAUUCUGAGGCCUCCCCAGCCAUGUGGAAUUGUAAGUCCAAUUAAACUUCCUUUUCUUCCCAGUCUCAGGUAUGUCUUUGUCAGCAGUGUGAAAAUGGAGUAAUACAGUAAAUUGGUACCAGUAGAGUGGGGCAUAGCUGAAAAGAUACCCGAAAAUGUGGAAGCAACUUUGGAACUUGGUAACAGGCAAAGGUUGGAACAGUUUGAAGAAGACAGGAAAAUGUAGGAAAGUUUGGAAUCUCCUGAAGACUUGCUGAAUGGCUUUGACAAAAAUGCUGAUAGUGAUGUAAACAAUAAGGUCCAGGCUGAGGUGGUCUCAGAUAGUGAUGAGAAACUUGUUGGGAACUGGAGAAAAGGUGACUCCUGUUAUAUUUUGGCAAAGAAACUGAGGGCAUUUUCCCCCUGCACUAGAGAUUUAUGGAACUUUGAACUUGGGAGAGAUGAUUUAGGAUAUCUGGUGAAAGAAAUUUCUAAGCAGCAAAGCAUUCAAAAGGUGACUUGGGUGCUGUUAAAAGCAUCCUAGAGCAUAAAAGUUCAGAAAAUUUGCAGCCUGAUGAUGCACUAGGAAUGAAAAACCCAGUUUUUGAGGAGAAAUUCAAGUUGGCUGCAGAAAUUUGCAUAAAUAACAAGGAGCCUAAUGUUAAUGCCCAAGACCAUGGGAAAAAUGUCUCCAGGCUAUGUCAGAGAUCUUCAUGGCAGCCCCUCCCAUCACAAACCCAGAGGGCCCGAAGGAAAAAGUGGUUUCAUGGGCCAGACCCAAGGUCCCCAUGCUGUGUGCAGCCUAGGGACUUGGUGCCCUGUGUCCCAGCUGUUCCAGCCUUGGCUGAAAGGGGCCAAUGUACAGCAUGGACUGUGGCUUCAGAGGGUGGAAGCCCCAAGCCUUGGCAGUUUCCACGUGGUAUUGAGCCUGUGGGUGCACAGAAGUCAAGAAUCGAGGUUUGGAAGCUUCCACCUAGGUAUCAGAAGAUGUAUGGAAACACCUGGAUGCCCAGGCAAAAGUUUUCUGCAGGGAUGCAGCCCUCAUGCUUGGGCAUGAGGGAAGGGAAAUGUGGGGUCAGAGCCCCCACACAACAUCCCUACUGGAGCACUGCACCGUGUGCCUGGAAUAGCCGCAGACACUCAAUGCCAGCCCUUGAAAGCAGCAGGGAAGGAUGCUGUUCCCUGCAAAGCCACAGAGGCAGGGCUGCCCGUGACCAUGAGAACCCACCUCUUGCAUCAGAGUGACCUGGGUUUGAGACCUAGAGUCAAAGGAGAUCAUUUUGGACCUUUAAAAUUUGACUGCCCCACUGGAUUUUGGACUUUCGUGGGCCCUGUAACCCCUUUGUUUUGGCCAAUUUCUCUGAUUUGGAAUGGCUGUAUUUACCUAAUACUUGUCCCCCCUUGUAUCUAGGAAGUCACUAGAUUGUGUUUGAUUUUACAGGCUCAUAGGCAGAAGGGACUUGCCUUGUCUCAGAUGAGACUUUGGACUGUGGACUUUUGGGUUAAUACUGAAAUGAGUUAAGCCUUUGGGGGACUGCUGGGAAGGCAUGAUUGGUUUUGAAAUGUGAGGACAAGAGAUUUGGAGGGACCAGGGGUGGAAUGAUAAGGUUUGGCUGUGUUCUCACCCAAAUCUCAGCUUGAAUAGUAUCUCCCAGAAUUCCUAUAUGUUGUGGGAGGGACAGAGAGGGAGGUAAUUGAAUUAUGGGACCCGUCUUUCCCAUGCUAUUCUUAUGAUAGCGAAUAAAUCUUAUGAGAUCUGAUGGGUUUAUCAGGGA